This 24-nucleotide non-coding RNA is filed under the name Arabidopsis thaliana (thale cress). Lineage: Eukaryota; Viridiplantae; Streptophyta; Magnoliopsida; Brassicales; Brassicaceae. The record is from RNAcentral.
ACUCCACCCAUGUCGUGCAAACCA